This 728-nucleotide ribosomal RNA is filed under the name uncultured bacterium. RNAcentral describes it as "bacterial SSU rRNA". It matches the Rfam family "Bacterial small subunit ribosomal RNA", at positions 33 to 774 of the family's 1533-position model. The record is from RNAcentral.
ACGCUGGCGGCGUGCUUAACACAUGCAAGUCGAACGGUGAAGAGGAGCUUGCUUCUUGGAUCAGUGGCGAACGGGUGAGUAACACGUGAGUAACCUGCCCCAAACUCUGGGAUAAGCACUGGAAACGGUGUCUAAUACCGGAUACGAGCUUCAGCCGCAUGGCUAGGAGUUGGAAAGAAUUUCGGUUUGGGAUGGACUCGCGGCCUAUCAGCUAGUUGGUGAGGUAAUGGCUCACCAAGGCGACGACGGGUAGCCGGCCUGAGAGGGUGACCGGCCACACUGGGACUGAGACACGGCCCAGACUCCUACGGGAGGCAGCAGUGGGGAAUAUUGCACAAUGGGCGCAAGCCUGAUGCAGCAACGCCGCGUGAGGGACGACGGCCUUCGGGUUGUAAACCUCUUUUAGUAGGGAAGAAGCGAAAGUGACGGUACCUGCAGAAAAAGCACCGGCUAACUACGUGCCAGCAGCCGCGGUAAUACGUAGGGUGCAAGCGUUGCCCGGAAUUAUUGGGCGUAAAGAGCUCGUAGGCGGUUUGUCGCGUCUGCUGUGAAAACCCGAGGCUCAACCUCGGGCCUGCAGUGGGUACGGGCAGACUAGAGUGCGGUAGGGGAGAUUGGAAUUCCUGGUGUAGCGGUGGAAUGCGCAGAUAUCAGGAGGAACACCAAUGGCGAAGGCAGAUCUCUGGGCCGUAACUGACGCUGAGGAGCGAAAGCAUGGGGAGCGAAAC